GUUGAUCACAGAAGAUGAGGACGUGCGGACGGCUGUGAGUCGGGCGUUGCUGGGAUCACGGAAGAGGGGCUGGCCUCUAGGAUUUUGAUCGCGUAAGGAGAUCACGGAAGAGCUGCUGAGUGCUUCCUAUUUCCUUCUUCCGGUGAUUUGGGAGGCGGAUCCGGACGAUGGCUUGCCAACGGAGGGAGCCGGUAAUCCAGCUGCUGGGAUGCGGAUGGGCUGGCACUAUGACGUGGCUUGAGGCGUUGGGAUUGAAGGCUGAAGAUGAUGGUGAUCCGAUGGACGGCGCGGAUGCUGGGACAUCGCUACGUGUUGAAGAUGUGAUGCUGAUGAACCGUGGGAUGGCUAGCACAAUGUGGGAAAUCGCUCGGGGGCAAAUGUGCUUGACCAGGUCAUAGUAGGAUUGGGCCCGUGCGGUUUGGGCUGUUGCUGGCUGGCACACUGGGAUGAGCUGAGCUCAAACCCAAUGUUAUUGGGUCUCUUGGAUUACUUGCACUCAAAUACAAAUACAACGUUAAUUAGUUAAUUUUAUCAUUAAUGAUUAACUAUAAUACUAAUUAAGAUGGUAUGACGAUUGCACUUUUGUGCUCUCAUCACACCCCCCAACCAGCUUAUUGCUAGUCUCUAGCAAUUUAGUGCGAAAAUGAGAAAAUAAGAUUGCAAAAGUUUUAUUAUUAUUAUUAUUAUUAUUUAGUAUUAAUUAUUAUUAUAUAUAUGAACUAAAAUAAAUACUCACUUUCGUAGAGCACCACGAUUGCACUUAGCACGUGCGACAAGCCGUUAAACCCCUAGGUUACCCUAGUAGACGAGUGUUAUCUCGUGAGGGUUUGCAGUGAAGUUACCCACAAACUUCAAUCCCUUUUUUUUUUUGAAAUGAAAGUCUAAUUUCAAGUAUAUAACUGAUAAGAAUUUCAAAAGCACACAAGGUUUUAAUUACUAAGUAGCCCAAAUUCUAGGUUAGUAUGCAAUUUAAGUUAAAGUCAUUAAGUUUUCUGUUAGGAAGUUGUCAGACUUAUUUAUACUUGAGUGCUCAGUGAAGUCUGGACCAUGCACAAGCUAAGGUUUUGGAUCUCCAAAAUAUCGCUAAUGCUAGUAGUUUCCAAGAAUUGGUCGGACAAGACCUAAUUGCUGAUUCAAAAUCAUCUUAUCUGGAGAAUUUCGAGAGUUGUGGAUGUUUACUUUAAUACCUCAUGGGCUUUAUCUGUAAUAUUCCAGUUUAUUCGAAUUUUUGCAACGAUGGCUUUCACACUAUUGUCUUUCUUAAGGUCAAUAUACAGAAUUUAUUUAUUUAUUUUUUUUAAAAAACAUGAUAAUGUAUAUAUUGUGCACUUUUACUCCUGUGAUGAUUCCUCCAUGUAGCGAGCAAUUAGUCGACAAUUCUCACACCAGUUGGUUUGAGGUGUCGGGCAUCAAGAGUCUCCUACGGACCUAUACUCGGGUUCCUCAUCACAAGCCCGCUGACUUUUGAUAAUAGGUAGCCCUUUUCGAUGUACCUGACUAAAUCCACCAUUUUUUUUUUGGAUCAGAAAAAGAUGGUUCAUCAGGAUUCGAGGUUGCUCCCAUAUUUUCAACACAAUGUCGAACCUAUACCUUAGAAAAUGCAGGCCAGAUGUGUUGUGAAAUUCAAAGCACUAAUUAGCUUACACCUCACUAAAAGGAACUUAAUAAAAAGAACUCACUUUGCACUACUUUCGACUAGUCAUUGGGCUCUUAGAUUUUAUAUACCUUGUGUGUUGUAAUUUUUUUUUCUAAUUUCAAAAAUUUUAACUAAAAACUUUUUUUUAAAAAAAAUUCCAAAUGCUUAAAAAUACCUCCAAACCUAAAUCUAACAUUGUCCUCAAUGUUAAAGACAAUUUAAAGCAGUAAAAGGACCGAGAAGAAGUUACCUGAUAUGGGUGGGUAAAUUGAAAAUUGGGGCAAAAUCCCCCAAACCUGCAUGUUAGUAAUUUAUUGAUUUUUUUUAAUUAAUUAAUUAAUUUAUUUAUAAUAUUUACAUGUUGGGUUGCCUUCCAAGAGCGCUAAGUUUUAUGUCUUUAGCCAGACAAUUCUAAUUCAUUCAUAUAGACAGGGUCGGUCAGAAGUGUUUUUUCAACUUCUGGACUCAGAUACUCAAGGUAUGGUUUUAAACGAUGUCCAUUGACUUGAAAGGACCUACCAUCCUUGGUAUUGCAUAUUACUACUGCAUCAUGCGGAUGCACUUUCUCUACUAUGAUGGGCCAGUCCAGCGAGAUUUAAGUUUUUCAGGGAAUAGAUGUAAUCGAGAAUCAUAUAGAAGGACUUUUUGUCCUUGGUGAAAUUCCUUACGAAUGAUCAUUUUAUCAUGCAUGAUUUUCAUGCGAUCUUUGUACUUCUUGGUACACUCGUAAGCAUCGUUUCUAAUUUCUUCAAGCUCAUCGAGUUGAAGCUUCCUAUGUUCUCCCGUUUUGUCAAGAUUGAAAUUUAAAUUUUUAAUCGCCCAAUAGGCCUUGCGUUCUAACUCGACAGGUAAAUGGCAGGCCUUGCCAUAGACAGUUCUAUAUGGAGACAUUCCAAUUGGUGUUUUGUAAGCCGUCCGAUAUGCCCACAGUGCAUCUGUUAGCCUAAGAGACCAAUCCUUCCGAGAUGUAUGAACAGUUUUUUCAAAGAUGGUCUUGAUCUCCCGAUUGGAAAUUUCGACUUGUCCACUUGUUUGUGAAUGAUAUAGUGUACUGACCUUGUGAUUAAUGUUGUACUUUCUCAUAAGGGCUUUAAAGAUUUUAUUACAAAAAUGUUUUCCCCCAUCACUAAUGAUAGCACGAGGGGUGCCAAAACGAGCAAAGAUAGAUUCUUUAAGAAACUUGAUCACUACUUUGUGAUCAUUGGUCUUACACGCGAUUGCCUCAAUCCAUUUUGAUACAUAGUCAACUGCCACAAGAAUGUACUGAUGCCCAAACGACAUAGGAAAAGGACCCAUAAAAUCAAUACCCCAAACAUCGAAGAUUUCUAUAAUUAAGAUAGGGUUCAGGGGCAUCUCAUUCUUUCUCGAAAGUUUUUCUAAUCGUUGACAUCGAUCGUAAGAUUUACAAUAGUCAUGCGCAUCUCGAAAAAGUGUGGGCCAAUAAAAUCCGCACUGCAAAACUUUUGCAGCAGUUUUCUUCCCACUAAAAUGACCACCACAAGCAUAGUCAUGACAAAAGCAAAGGACAUUCCUUUGAUCGUGUUUAGGGAUGCAUCGUCUGAUGAUUUGAUCGGGACAGUAUUUGAACAAGUAUGGUUCAUCCCAAAAAUACUAUUUUACACGAGCUAGAAAGCAGAAUUUCUCUUGUUUGGUCCAUGAACUGGGUAUUCGUUCAGUAACUAGAUAGUUGACUACAUCAGCAUACCAUGGAACAUUGAUAUGGGAAAUCAUCAUUAAUUGUUCAUUAGGGAAGGUCUCGGACACAGGCAUGGAUUCUCCAGAUGAUUCAACAAUUAAUCUGGACAAGUGGUCAGCUACAAUAUUUUCAGAUCCCUUUUUAUCUCGUAUUUCAAGAUCAAAUUCUUGAAGCAAUAGGAUCCAACGAAUGAGUCUUGCCUUGGCNNNNNNNNNNNNNNNNNNNNNNNNNNNNNNNNNNNNNNNNNNNNNNNNNNNNNNNNNNNNNNNNNNNNNNNNNNNNNNNNNNNNNNNNNNNNNNNNNNNNNNNNNNNNNNNNNNNNNNNNNNNNNNNNNNNNNNNNNNNNNNNNUCAAAUGGCAGAUUCCAAUCUGGGGACCUUAUGAUGGGUGCUGAGGUUAGUUCAGACUUUAGUCUUUCGAAAGCAGUUAUACAAAUUGGCGAAAAAUUAAAAGUAGCAUCUUUCGCCAACAGAUCGCAUAAGGGUUUCAACAAUUUACUGAAAUCCUUGAUAAAGCGGCGGUAAAAACCCACAUGCCUUAAAAAGGAUUCGACUUUCCUAACAGUUUUGGGAGGUGGUAACUUGGCAAUUAAUUCUGCUUUGGCUUUAUCCAUCUCGAUUCCCCUUUGUGACACAAUGUGUCCCAAAAUAAUACCUGAUUGGACCAUAAAAUGAUAUUUUUUCUAGUUAAGAACUAAAUUUUUCUCUUUACAUCGUUCUACAACAAGGGUCAAGUGAUGGAGACAUUCAUUAAAAUUAGAUCCGAAUACAAAAAAGUCAUCCAUAAAAACUUCUAAAAAUUUUUCCACCAUGUCGGAGAAAAUGCUCAUCAUACACCGCUGGAAUGUAGCCGGUGCAUUGCAUAACCCAAAAGGCAUGCGACGAUAGGCAAAAGUGCCAUAAGGACAGGUGAAUGUGGUUUUCUCUUGAUCCUCACGUGCAAUUGGAACUUGGUUAUAUCCAGAAUAACCAUCAAGAAAACAGUAAUGAGAGUGGCCAGCUAGACGUUCUAACAUUUGGUCAAUGAAGGGUAGUGGGAAGUGGUCUUUUCUAGUCAUGACGUUCAGUUUUCUGUAGUCGAUGCAUACUCGCCAUCCAGUUUGGAUUCGAGUUGGGACUAAUUCAUUGUGGUCAUUCUUAAUCACAGUGAUUCCAGAUUUCUUUGGUACGACUUGAAUUGGGCUCACCCAUUGGCUGUCAGAAAUAGGAUAUAUAAUCCCUGCAUCUAAGAGUUUAAUGAUUUCAGCUCGAACCACAUCCUUCAUGACUGGGUUAAGUCGUCUUUGUGGUUCUUUAGAGGUUUUUGCAUCCUCUUAUAGAUGAAUUUUAGGUUGGACCACAGAAGGACUAAUUCCCUUAAUAUCAGCUAUAGACCAGCUGAUUGCUUCUUGAUUUUUCUGAAGGAUAUUUAACAACUUCUCUUCCUGUUCUUUAGUUAAAUUUGAUGCAAUAAUCACAGGUAAGAUGUUGUUGUCCCCGAGAAAUGCAUAUUUUAAGUUUUCAGGCAGAUCUUUAAGUUCAAGCUGGGGAGGUUUGACACUUGAAGGUACUAGCUGGGAUUCAGGUAUAGGUAAUGAUUCAAAUUUAGUAGCCCAUCUGCUAGUAUCCAUUACAGGAAUGGAAUCUAACAAUGCAUUAACCUCCUGAUUCGACUUUUCCUCCUCACAAUCUUGACUGAAUUGGGCCAAACAUCUUUCUAGUGGAUUAGAAUAACUUGAUUCCUCGAAGGAUUUGCUGCUUAUAUUCUCAAUCAUGUGAAUUUCUUCUAAAUCAUCCAUCUCAGAUGGUUGAUUAUUACUGUGAAAGACAUUGAGUUGGACGGUCAAGUUUCCAAAUGCUAAGGUCAUUAUUCCAUUUCGGCAACUGAUCACAGCAUUUGAAGUGGCCAAAAAUGGUCUGCCAAGGAUUACCGAGAUGUGACUACCUAGAUUUUUCACUGGUUCAGUUUCGAGAACUACAAAAUCCACAGGAUAGUAAAACUCAUUUACCUUUACAAUUACAUCCUCUACAAUUCCCUUAGGAUACUUCACAGUCCUAUAUGUUAACGAAAGAGUGAUGUUUGUGGGUUUUAAUUUUCCCAAACCCAACUCUGUGUAAACAGAAUAGGAUAACAGGUUCACGCUAGCUCCUAAAUCUAGGAGAGCUCUCCGAAUGAUGGUUUCUCCUAUUUUAAUUUUAAUAGUGGGGCAACCAGGGUCCUUGUAUUUUGGGGCAAUCUGUUGUUGAAUAAGAGAUGAGGCUUGUGCCGCCAUCACAGCUUGUCUAGGAAUACUGGUUUUUUUUUUCACCGAUCACAGCUUGCCUAGGAAUACUGGUUUUCUUUUUCACCGUGGUUAGGUCUUUUAAGAAUUUGGUAUAGGAGGGGAUCUGUCUAAUGGCAUCUAGGAAGGGUAAAUUUAUUUGGACAUUUUUAAAGACUUCCAUGAUUUUAUCGUACUGAGAUUUUUUUCUUUGAGUCUUGUAGUCUACUAGGAAAGGGAGCCUUGGGUGUGUAUGUCUCUAUUGGUUUCUCCUCUAUUCCUUGUGUUCCCUGUUCUUGUGCCUUUUUCUGAGUGGGGUUCGGUUCAUGCUUUUCUUCUUUUUCUUGUACAGGAAGUUGAACUUUGUUGUCCACUUUCUUGCCAGACCGUAAAGUGGUAAUUGCCUGUACUUCAUGGGUAAGGUUUCCAUUAGAAUCAAUCUGAAACUGGCCUCUUGGCUCUUGAUUCUGUUGCCUACUAGGGUUAGGCACUGGCUGACUAGGUAGUUCACCUUUCUUCCUAUCCUCUAGAGAGUUUGCUAUUUGGCUUAGACUAACUUCAAGUUUUGCAAUUGCUUGCGCAUGGAAUUGGUUAGUCUGGGUUUGAGCCAUGUUGGUCUGUUGUUGCUGUUGGAUAAAAUCUUGUUGUUGUUUCAUCAUGUUAGCCAUCAUGGUUUCUAAUGGUGAAGAUUAUUGUGGGAUAGGGGUAUUGUAAGGAGGUACAGAUGGAACUAAAGGUUGGUUCAUUUGUGAUGGAUCUAUUCGGGAGAAGUUUCUAUGAAAACCUGGUGGACCACCUUGAUGCUGAAUAGGUUCAUUUUGCUUGUAUGAGAAAUUUGGGUGGAACCUAUUAUCAGGAUGGUAGACUGGGCUGAAUGAAUUGGGAGUGGGCUUCUUGAAGGCACUAUAUAAGUUUAGAGCAUUUGCCUGCUCAGCCUUAAUGUUGAGUAAACUAAGACAACAUUCCACUAAAUGCUCAGAACUGUUACACAAGAUAUAUAAGUCAUGUGAUUCGUAUUCCACUUUCAUGAUGGGAUUUAACUCUUUAUAUGAAUCGAGCUAGUGAAAACAGUGAAAGCAUCAAACUUUUUACUUAAGUUGUUCAUUUCAGUCACCAGAUUGGACAUGACAUUAAAAUAACACUGCUCUUAAUUAAAGUAAAACAAAAAAAAUAAAAAGAAAAAGAAGAACAACAACGUGCUUUGUUUGAAAACAGAGCACAAACUCAAAACUCUCUCUUUUUUUUCUUUGGAACAGAGCUUCCCUUCCUCUGUUUCUUUGGCCCACAACCGAGCGCUCCCCUCCUCCCUCUCUGUUUCUCCCCCCCCCUUCUUAUAGCCCUUGGAGAGCGGUGAAUAUGGAAGGCGAUCUGGGCAUUUUCACCGCGUGUAGAACGCGGUUGCUGGGCAGAUCGCUCAUCUGGAGGACUUUCUUCUUUGGACCACGGAUGCGGGAUCGCCGGACGCCUGAUGCGGAAGGCGCGGAUGGCUGUGAGGCGCGGUGAGGACGCGCUAGCAGCAACUGCGAGGCGCUGGGAUCACGGACGGACGCGGGAUUCCGGGAGGAGAAUCAAGAGCGGUGGGGACGCGCUGAAAUGGAAGAUGCCACGGGAUGCUGUGGCGUUGAUCACGGAAGAUGAGGACGUGCGGACGACUGUGAGUCGGGCGUUGCUGGGAUCACGGAAGAGGGGCUGGCCGCUGGGAUUUUGAUCGCGUAAGGAGAUCACGGAAGAGCUGCUGGGUGCUUCCUAUUUCCUUCUUCCGGUGAUUUGGAAGGCGGAUCCGGACGAUGGCUUGCCAACAGAGGGAGCCGGUAAUCCAGCUGCUGGGAUGCGGAUGGGCUGGCACUAUGACGUGGCUUGAGGCGUUGGGGUUGAAGGCUGAAGAUGAUGGUGAUCCGAUGGACGGCGCGGAUGCUGGGACAUCGCUACGUGUUGAAGAUGUGAUGCUGAUGAUGAACCGUGGGAUGGUUAGCACAAUGUGGGAAAUCGCUCGGGGGCAAAUGUGCUUGACUAGGUCAUGGUAGGAUUGGGCCCGCGCGGUUUGGGCUGUUGCUGGCUGGCACACUGCGAUGAGCUGAGCUCAAACCUAAUGUUAUUGGGUCUCUCGGAUUACUUGCACUCAAACACAAAUACAACGUUAAUUAGUUAAUUUUAUCAUUAAUGAUUAACUAUAAUACUAAUUAAGAUGGUAUGACGAUUGCACUUUUGUGCUCUCAUCACUUUGUAUCAGAACGUGAUAAAAUUAUCUACUUCUAAUGGACUCAUUUCGGCUACAUCUGAGUUAUGUUCUGGAUUCAGAUCUUCACUUUAUCAGCUUGUUUAUCAUUUAACACAUGCAAAUACAUAAGUCUAAUAUUAAACAUGUU
Molecule: long non-coding RNA, 7937 nt
Filed under: Phoenix dactylifera (date palm)
Lineage: Eukaryota; Viridiplantae; Streptophyta; Magnoliopsida; Arecales; Arecaceae
Description: long non-coding RNA (PDAC_LNC006822)
Source: RNAcentral